UGUAGGGGUAGAGUCUGUAACUUCUUCUUGGAUAGAGGAAGUUGCUCUCAAGCACUUUGUUUUGAUGCCUUGUUACAUGUUUUAAACUUUAUUUAGAAGAAGCUGCUCUGAGGAUUACUUGAUUCUCUCUUUUUUUUCCCUUUGUGGUCUUCGUGUUAAAAAUGACAGAUAAACAGACGUGAUCCUGCAAUCAAUGGAUUCAUUUUUUGUCAGUCAAGUUUCGGGUCUCAAGCCAAAUUUUUACCAAAUCAAACGGAGUUAAUGACAGUCAUGGAGGGUCUCACUGGGGAUCUUUCCACACAAACCUUGAUAAAAUAGCAAUGUGUUGGUCUUUUAAGGCAGAUAUGACUUCUCACAGGAUUGAGGGCUUAAAAGGAGAAAGUUUAUUGAGAGAGCUGCUGUAAAUGUCAUUCUAAGUUUCUGUACCUCUGCAUUGUCAUUUUUCAUGAAGGACGAGGUGGCAAUUAACCCUUGCACAAUCUUAAGACGGGGUUAUUUAGACCCAAGUUUUUUUUUGUUUGUUUUUUUCUGUCCAGCAAGGUUGUGUGCAUUUUUAUGAGUUUUUUUUUUCUUCUUCUUUUUUUGUGGUGUGGGAAACUGUCCGUCUGACAGGGACGCAAGAAAUCGUUUCUCAAUAGCCGAGGACCCAGAACCUCACUUCACAGCCAAACGUACAACAAGGAGUUUGUUCUUACCAGGCUAGCUUCAUAAGGGACAGACUUCAAAUUCACUGCUCUAAACUAGAGCUUUAACAGCACACGCUGGGAAGACAGACAUCUCCAAGAGAGCAAAACUUUCAAAACUGCAGGGGACGAGAACUGAGGAC
This is a long non-coding RNA of Poecilia latipinna (sailfin molly), 826 nucleotides long. RefSeq lists it as uncharacterized. The transcript is spliced from 2 exons. The record is from RefSeq and is a predicted model, not a curated record. Lineage: Eukaryota; Metazoa; Chordata; Actinopteri; Cyprinodontiformes; Poeciliidae.